RNAcentral lists this ribosomal RNA (164 nucleotides) under Erythronium quinaultense. Its description in RNAcentral is "5.8S ribosomal RNA". It matches the Rfam family "5.8S ribosomal RNA". Rfam says of the family: 5.8S ribosomal RNA (5.8S rRNA) is a component of the large subunit of the eukaryotic ribosome. It is transcribed by RNA polymerase I as part of the 45S precursor that also contains 18S and 28S rRNA. The record is from RNAcentral. RNAcentral also lists the same sequence under 1 other name. Lineage: Eukaryota; Viridiplantae; Streptophyta; Magnoliopsida; Liliales; Liliaceae.
CAUACGACUCUCGGCAACGGAUAUCUCGGCUCUCGCAUCGAUGAAGAACGUAGCGAAAUGCGAUACUUGGUGUGAAUUGCAGAAUCCCGUGAACCAUCGAGUCUUUGAACGCAAGUUGCGCCCGAGGCCUUUCGGCUGAGGGCACGCCUGCCUGGGCGUCACGC